UACGGAUGGUGCAAGCGUUGUCCGGAUUUAUUGGGUUUAAAGGGUGCGUAGGCGGCCCUGUAAGUCAGUGGUGAAAUUCUUGAGCUUAACUGAAGGAUUGCCAUUGAUACUGUAGGGCUUGAGUACAGAUGAGGUAGGCGGAAUUGAUGGUGUAGCGGUGAAAUGCAUAGAUACCAUCAAGAACACCGAUUGCGAAGGCAGCUUACUAAGCUGUAACUGACGCUGAGGCACGAAAGUGUGGGGAUCAAACAGG
This 253-nucleotide ribosomal RNA is filed under the name uncultured bacterium. RNAcentral's name for it is "partial 16S ribosomal RNA". It matches the Rfam family "Bacterial small subunit ribosomal RNA", at positions 524 to 776 of the family's 1533-position model. The record is from RNAcentral.